Molecule: long non-coding RNA, 453 nt
Filed under: Medicago truncatula (barrel medic)
Lineage: Eukaryota; Viridiplantae; Streptophyta; Magnoliopsida; Fabales; Fabaceae
Description: long non-coding RNA (MTRU_LNC001298)
Source: RNAcentral
AAACCCAUAACUCAUCCAACCCAAUCAAACUCAGUAAUCCCGUCACCGCCGUUCCAACCCAACGCCGCCACCGACGACUGUUACAGACAGACUCCAUCUCUUUCGUUUCUUCUGAAUUUCUCGCGGAAGCUUUUCUACCGUUGGCCCCACCGGCGACGUCGACGGAGACCGUGCAAUCUGUUUCGAAUUUGGGGAUUCUUUUGGGGUUGGGUUUGAUUUUAAGAUCUGUUGGUGUGAAUUUUGUUUGGGUUGUGGUUGAAGAUGACUUUUUGGGGGUUUUUUCAUAAAGUUUGUUGUUGUUGUUGUAGUACUGGAAAUGGAAAAGGGUGUGGCUGCCAUAAGAUUGAGUUGCCGCAGACUUGACGGUGAAAGUGUGAAAAUGAGUGGAUUUGGAAAUGAGGUGAAAAAGAAAGAAAGAAAAAAAUGAGAGAGGAGGUUAAAGUUUGAGAAACA